Molecule: ribosomal RNA, 497 nt
Filed under: uncultured bacterium
Lineage: Bacteria
Description: partial 16S ribosomal RNA
Rfam family: Bacterial small subunit ribosomal RNA
Source: RNAcentral
GAUGAACGCUGGCGGCGUGCCUAAUACAUGCAAGUCGAGCGAACAGACGAGGAGCUUGCUCCUCUGACGUUAGCGGCGGACGGGUGAGUAACACGUGGAUAACCUACCUAUAAGACUGGUAUAAUCUCGGGAAACCGGAGCUAAUACCGUAUAAUAUAUUGAACCGCAGGGUGGAAUAGUGAAAGUCGGUUGUGCUGGAACUUCUAGAUGGAUCUGCGCCGCAUUAGCUGGUUGUUAAGGUUACCGGCUAUCAAGGGGACGAGGCGUUACCGACCUCAGAGGGUGGUAGCCCACCCGGGAGCUUGGACGCGGUCCAGGCUCCUGCGGUAGGCCGCAGUAGGGAAUCUUCCGCAGUGGGCGAGAGCUUGGCGGAGCAGCGCCGAGUGAGUGAUGAAGGUCUUCGGAUCGUAAUGCUCUGUUAUUAGUGGAGAACAAAUGUGUAAGUAGCUAUGCACGUAGUGACGGUACCUGAUCAGAAAGCCCCGGCUAACUACGUG